Molecule: ribosomal RNA, 512 nt
Filed under: Ligariella gracilis
Lineage: Eukaryota; Metazoa; Arthropoda; Insecta; Mantodea; Chroicopteridae
Description: partial 16S ribosomal RNA
Rfam family: Bacterial large subunit ribosomal RNA (bases 386-512)
Source: RNAcentral
GGUUUCUUGUUUAUAUAAGAGAUUUGGCCUGCCCACUGAUUUAAUUUUAAGGGCCGCAGUAUUUUGACUGUGCAAAGGUAGCAUAAUCAUUAGUCUUUUAAUUGAGGGCUGGAAUGAAUGGUUGGACGAAAUAAAUUCUGUUUCAUUAAAAUUUUAUUGAAUUUAGGUUUUAAGUAAAAAUUCUUAAAUAAUGUUAAGGGACGAGAAGACCCUAUAGAGUUUAAUAUAUUGAUUUUAAAUUAAGUUUUUAUUUAAUUUAUGAUUUUUUUUUUAAUUUAUUUAAUUGGGGUGAUUGGAAGAUAUUUUUAACUCUUUUUAAUUUUUAAUAAUUAUUUUUAGUUUUUUGAUCCAUAAAUUUUUGAUUUUAAGAUUAAAUUACCUUAGGGAUAACAGCAUAAUUUUUUUUGAGAGUUCUUAUUGAAAAAAGAGAUUGUGACCUCGAUGUUGGAUUAAGAUAAAUAGUGGGUGUAGAUGUUCAUUAAUUAGGUCUGUUCGACCUUUAAAAUCUUACA